This 993-nucleotide long non-coding RNA is filed under the name Cricetulus griseus (Chinese hamster). RNAcentral describes it as "lncRNA (ENSCGRG00015031096.1)". The record is from RNAcentral. Lineage: Eukaryota; Metazoa; Chordata; Mammalia; Rodentia; Cricetidae.
GGGCCUUGAAACAGUGAGCUGUCUUUGUUCGAAAUACAGGUGAACGGCAAUCAUGUGAUUAACACACACACACAUAAAAAGCUUUUUAACAGCGCCCGCCCGGCCUCAGAACCUCCCGGAGAGAAGCCGCCUUGGAUGGACAGAGGGACUGAGCUACAAGCAUCCAGCCAGUCGUGUCCUGGCUCCCCGGCAGCGGUUCCCAACGUCCGCUGCUAUCCGCGCCGGCUGCCCGCCUGCCUGCCUGGCAUCUCUCUCCCGCACAAAUCCAAACAACAAAACCAGGAACUGCAGCUACAGCAUCCGUGAAAUUUGAAAAUAUUACACUGGGGCUUGAGAGAUGGUGAAGUGGUCAAGAACACUGUCUGCUCUUCCAGAGGACCCAGGUUCUAUUCCCAGUACCCACAUGGUAGCACACAUCUGUCUGUAACUCCAGUUCCAGGGAAUCUGGCAUCCUUACCCCAAUGCACAUAAAAUAAAGUUAAAUAAAGUAUUUUUAAAAGAGAAAAUAUGCUAAUGAAAAAAGCCAGCUACAAAAGGACACACAUGAAACUAUUCCAAUUCUUUGAAAUUCCACAACAGGUAAACUAUGAGGCCACAAGCAGAGGAGGACUGGGGAGAGCUGUGAAAAGAGGGCCAGGAAGUGAAUGUGGGCAGCAAAUGAAUUUGGGGGAGAUAUGGUAAAAUGUUUUGGAAUUAAACACUGGUGAAGCUUGUGUAACCCUGCAAAGGCCCUAACAGCCCUGAAUGGAUGCAGUAGACAUUCAAAGUGGAGAAUGCUCUUCCUGCCUCAGCCUCCUGAGGAUGGGAUUACAGGUGUGUGUCAGCCUGGCUGGCUCUAAAAAAUUUGAUUUAAGGGCUGGAGAGAUGGCUCAGGGGUUAAGAGCACUGCCCAUUCUUCCAGAGGUCCUGAGUUCAAUUCCCAGCAACCACAUGGUGGCUAACAACCACCUUGAAUGAGAUCUGGUGCCUCCUGCUGGCAUGCAGGCAGAAGAC